CUGGGAAGCUUUUCUGUUUGGCCCCUGGCAGAUCUUAACCAUGUACAUGUCAAGACCUCUCAAAUAGUGGCACAUGUGAGCAACAGACUCUUGACCAUGAAACUCUAGCCUGUGUGCAGAUCUAGGUUCUGCCUCGCACCUGAGGAGCCAUUUGCCUGAAGCCUAGAACCCUGGAGUGACCCUGUCACCCUUUGGAAUCCUGGUCUGAGCCAGCUGCUGACCUGCAGUCAUACGGGUAGAAACCUCCAUUGUAAAGCAGGCAGGAGAACUCAGCUUUGAAGACAGUUAAGUGCAAGAGG
Mustela erminea (ermine) is the source of this 299-nucleotide long non-coding RNA. RefSeq lists it as uncharacterized. The transcript is spliced from 3 exons. The record is from RefSeq and is a predicted model, not a curated record. NCBI's taxonomy places the organism in Eukaryota, Metazoa, Chordata, Mammalia, Carnivora, Mustelidae.